ACGUACACUCCUGCGGGAGGCAGCAGUGGGGAAUAUUGGACAAUGGGCGCAAGCCUGAUCCAGCCAUGCCGCGUGAGUGAUGAAGGCCCUAGGGUUGUAAAGCUCUUUCACCGGAGAAGAUAAUGACGGUAUCCGGAGAAGAAGCCCCGGCUAACUUCGUGCCAGCAGCCGCGGUAAUACGAAGGGGGCUAGCGUUGUUCGGAAUUACUGGGCGUAAAGCGCACGUAGGCGGAUCGAUCAGUCAGGGGUGAAAUCCCAGGGCUCAACCCUGGAACUGCCUUUGAUACUGUCGAUCUGGAGUAUGGAAGAGGUGAGUGGAAUUCCGAGUGUAGAGGUGAAAUUCGUAGAUAUUCGGAGGAACACCAGUGGCGAAGGCGGCUCACUGGUCCAUUACUGACGCUGAGGUGCGAAAGCGUGGGGAGCAAACAGGAUUAGAAACCCCGGUAGUCCCAUGA
Molecule: ribosomal RNA, 455 nt
Filed under: uncultured organism
Description: partial 16S ribosomal RNA
Rfam family: Bacterial small subunit ribosomal RNA
Source: RNAcentral